Long non-coding RNA from Mesocricetus auratus (golden hamster), 5454 nucleotides. RefSeq lists it as uncharacterized. NCBI's taxonomy places the organism in Eukaryota, Metazoa, Chordata, Mammalia, Rodentia, Cricetidae. The record is from RefSeq and is a predicted model, not a curated record. The transcript has 4 exons.
AGAGAGCCACGGGCAAGGGGCUGAACAGAGGGGGGUCCGAUGCCAGUGACUUAAAAAUGCCCCCCUAGCAUCAAGAGGUGCCAGCCGUGUCAACUUAGGUGAGGAGCAGUGACACCACAACCAUACCCCAAAUAGGGUGAGCCUCCACCUCCGAAGAGUCAUCCCUGGGCCAGACAACAGCCAAGGCAAGAGUGAUGGCUAGUAGGACCCCACACACAUACACUGGAGAAUGAAGAGCCUUGUGUGAGAAAUUUUCCCAAGAACUAGGAAAGGGAUGGCGGUGGAAGCCCUGUUCCCAGGACUAACUGAGCUUCCCAACAGACGGGAGUCCCGAGAGUCCCUAGCCUGGAGACAUUUUCUGAAGACGUGGGAAAAGGAGAAAAAGCGGGUCAUCCCCUGCGGCAGGCCUCCAAGGGACAACACCGAGAGCACCAGCCAGGAGAAAAGGCUGCCUCGCCCCCCCCCACUCAGACGACCCUGAAAGUAUGUCAUCCAGCAUCAAGGCCACCACAGUCACCAUGAAGCAAAGGUCUUCCGGGGACCCUGGGAUCUUGGCAAGAGCAGGGUGAGUGCCCACAGAAGAAAAUGAAUUAUCCGUGUGGCCACUCAGUCAGUCCCUGCGUGUCAUCUGCUAUGUCCACUGUCAUGUGCAAAGUUGUCAGCAGUAUCUAGGGACCCCAAAUGAUAACCUAUGGGCCCUGACCUCAGGCAACUGAAGAGGUAAGUAGGGAUGGCCCAGAAAUGAAACAUCCUAAGGCCAUGCAGUAUGAGGCAGCUUACAAGCCAUCCUCUCAAGCAACAUUCGACGUGGCCCUGAUUUGGGGGCUGAGGGAAUCUGGCAGGCUCCCUUUCCUCAUAAAGGAAGGUGUUCACAAAAGAAGACUAUACCGCAAGGGUUGGGAAGAAACAGAGCUCACAGGAUGGGCAAGAGCAUGAAAGAGUUGGGUUGGUUUCUCGCCAGUGGUCACUUGCCCAGAGUCAAUACAGAGACUGGUGGGGGGGCAAGGGCAGGAACCAAAGGUGAGAGGUCACAGAGGGUUUAUCUAAUAAGUGCAAGGCCCUGGGUUCCGUUCCCAGCCCUGCAGAGAGAAAAAAAGUUAACUGCACACUUUAAAUGAAUGGGCUCUACCUCAAGAAAGCUAACUUGAAGAGAAAAAGGGAACGAAGAUGGAGAUUUCGGUCGCAGAGGGAUCCAGGGCAGGGGAAGAACAGGGCGGGAGGGAAGCAGGCCACUACCCGUGCUCACACUCCUUCUCCUGCCCAGGCAGGAAGCGAGCCGCAGCCCCAGCGCCCAUGCCCCCAGCGCCCAUGCGCGCCUGUCUCCCAGCCUGAGGUGCAGUGCUGCAUCUCUGGUCAGUUGGGAGUCUGAGAUGAAGCACUGUAGCUCAGGAAGGGAGAAGCUGUUCUGCAGCCAUCGCCGGGAAGUGGUAAGUGUUGGCGUGGGGUGGCAGGCCCGAGAGGUUGUCCCUAGACUCCGCUCCAGCCAUCCACGAGCCGUCCUUGGCUCAAAGCUGCACCAGGGCUGACCACUCUUGUGCAUCUGCAACGGUAGGCUCUGGUCCAUUCAGUGGCAGCUAGAACCAACCCGUAGAAGACACUGCUGAAGGAAAAGAUACGUCUCCUUCAAGAAACUCUGCCGUCCCUCUCUAUCCAUUCUGGGAGGGUUCUGACACACCCUCAGAAUCCUUCUCAACACUGCAGACCCAAAUACCCACUGUAACUGAUUCACCCCUGUAGAUCAUCAGACAAUCCCUGACAGCUCUUCCAUCCCAGAGGUAGCGGCCCAGGGUCCUGGCAGCCCCACACAUUGUAGGUGACACUGUCACCUUGCAGCGUCAAAAUGUUGCCCAUCCCUGUUAGGCUUGGAGUCACCGUCUUCCCUCUUUGAGCCUCUAACUCUGGCUCUGGGCUACUGCCUAAACCAGCCCAGGCAUUUCACAGACAUCUACCCUGUCCCAGAGGCUUCAGAGAAGCAAGGGGCAGCAGAGGAGAGCCACAGAGGAGGGUGACCCACUUUACAGGUGAGAAAACUAAGCCUUAGGCCACAUGUGGACCUGCUGAGCUGGGGUCCACCUCCCUACCCACUGUGAGACCCUGGAGCAGGAGAGUAGGAAAACAAAACAAAACCCAGUCUGGUCUUGUUUGCUCUCGGCUACGGUGACAGAGGCAGGACCACACACUUCUGAGAGCCCUGCCGUCUCUCUUUCUUCAUGCUGGCUCCUCCUCACCCAGUCGGUCCCCGUUGGAUGCCACUUUACAAGCACGGCCCAGAGUUCAAAUUACCUGCCAGAAGUCAACAAUGAGAAAGUUGCCAGAGCCCAGGACCUGUCCUCAUGCAAACUGGCUUAAACUCAUCCUGCUGGCCAGAGAACUGUGGCCUGUGGCAAUGGGGGGGCGGGAACUGGUCCCAGAUGUUUUCUGAUCAAUUCUGAUAAACAAAGGCUGCCCUUUGACCACAGGGAAGGUACUUCCCAAGCCACUUCAAGCUCUAGCCGCUGUUCCCAGGGCAGGAAGCUGCACCCUGGGAGUCACAGCAGCCCACGCCGGCUGGCAGAGCUCAGCUCGGGCUGGAUGCAGAGAAAAACUGCUGGUCCCUAGGGGUGUGGCAGGAGCCGAAGGCCUCUCUCUCCCACCUUGUCCUCACGGUCCAGUUUUCCCAGGAAUCCCUUGGAUGCUAAGAUGGGGAUUCCUGGAAAUACUGUUCUUGAGGUCAUGGCUUAACGGCUGGAGCUGCCUGCUUGCCACCCUGGCAUUUCCUGUCUGGGAUGCGGGAGGAGAAGGCGGUACCCUGGAGGUAAGAGGCCACGGGAGACCCCUCUGACCUUUGCAUUGCUUUUCUUUCCGCUGUGUCCGUAUUUCAUAACACCCCCGGGAGGCUGGAUGUGGGAACCUCGAACCGCCUCACUCUUGAGAAACUUGUCCCAAGUCGCAGUGGUUGAAGCAGGACCCCGGGGCAGCCUUCCCUCCACUCUGACCCUCAGCAUUCCUUCCCUGCGGGAGGAAAGGGGGAGCCAUAGGUCCAUAUCCACAUUAUUAGGAGAAUUAUACACAUAUUUAUUUUAAACUCUUAUUAAAUCUGUUAGAUAAGCUAAAAACCCUUCAUCUCUGUUGGAUUCAGAGCGCAGCAGCCACUGGAAACAGCUUUCGAGGUAGAAAAAUACAAGUUUCGGAGCGCCCCCUGGUGGUAUUUCUGCCCGCUGCAGGAACACUGCUAUUUCCCCAUGCACUGACAGCGCAGGAAUCUCUCUGCAGACGGCCUUCCUGUUUUCUACACACUUCUACCAAAAUUCUUUCUGCCCAAUCACUUUUGAGCCACUGACUGACUUGCUUAAGCCUUAUUAAUCUCUUUCCAGAGAUGCUUCUGCGUCUUACAGUUGGCUUUUCUUUAAGCCCAAACCAGGGCAAGUUCACCUAGACAGCAAAAGGCAAAGGAGAGAUAGAGUUCAAGUUCCAUGGCGCCUGGCAUCGAAUGUCUGAGCCAGAAAGAAAAGUAGGGGGAAGUACUCCUCCCUUAUAGCUCCCUGCUCCCCAACUCUUGGGAGUUCUUUCUCGUUUUUCCUUAAUAAAUCUUUGCUGCGCUUUAAAACAAUCUAGUUUGAGGCCAGCCCAGUCUAUGCAGUGAGUUCCAGGACAGCCAGAGUUACAUAGUGCUACAUGUCUCUGCAUAGUGAGACCCUGUCUCAUAAAAAAAAAUCUAUAGCCAGGAUACAGAUAGAGUGACCGCUUACAGUGUGUGAAUCCCUGGGUUCCAUGCCUAGCACUUGUGCAAAUCAGGUGUGGUGGUACAUGCCCGUAAUCCCAGCACACGGCAGGAAGAUGGGACAUGUACAGUUAUCCUUGGCUAAACAGUGAGCUUGAGGCCAAUCUGGGCUUUCAUGAGACCCUAUCUCGAGAGGAGGAAGGUGAAGCAAAAACUACAAAGAAAAUUAAAAAUAAAAAGACCACCUUCUCCUGCUGCACAUACAGAAGGCUGACUGGAUGGAUGUCAAAAUCCUUGAUGGGACCCAGGUAUAAAACUAGAGCUUAGGCUGGGGAGAUGAGGUGGCUUCCCAUCAGAGUCCACCCAGAGCAAACUAGAACCCAUGUGAUGAAAGGAGAAAAGUGACUCCUGAAAAUUGUCCUCUGACCUCCACGUGCCGGGCAUGCUAUGUGCCGUCAGUAUGCACACGCAUCACAAAAAUAAAUGUGAAGGGAAAACUAGAACUUUGGGGGCUACGGGGUGGCCCAGUCAGUAAAGUGCUGGGUUCGGAUGCCCAGUGCCUAUGCAGAAAGCCAGCUGUGGGGUCACACUUAUAAUCCCGGUGCUGGUGGGGAGAGAGACAGGAGGACCCUGGAAUCUGCAGUCGGCCAGUCUGGCCAAAAUUGGUGAGCUCUGGGUUUAGUGAGAAAUACUAUCUCAAAAUCACAAGGUGGAGAGUGACAGAGGACACUAACCCUGUGCACACACUCAAACACACACACACACACACACACACGCACGCACGCAUGCACGCACCCACAUAUUGGAAUCUCCUUUAACUGUCCCUGGUUAAAGGAACAGUUGAUGAGUUGGAAGAGGUGGUAACUGUCAUGACUCCAAAGCCCUCAGUUUGGGGCAUGGCAUCAUAUCUCCAGAGACCAGGUAGUUCCCAGGGGUAUGCCAAGCUAUGCUCUUAGCAAGCACCCAGAAGACACUUGGGAAGAGAGACGGCCUCCUGCUCACACUCCGAGGCCGUUGCUGACCCCACUCUCUGUCUCUUUACCAUCCGCUGGGCCCAUGUUACACACUCACAGCAUUUCUCGGUCCUCACACGACCUAGUGAAGCAGCAUGCAAGCCCGUGCUGCACACUCAAGCCCGUGUUGCACACUCAAGCCCGUGUUGCACACUUACAGCAUCGUUCGGUCCUCACGCCACCUAGUGAAGCAGCACACAAGCCCGUGUUGCACACUCAAGCCCGUGCUGCACACACAAGCCCGUGCUGCACACACAAGCCCGUGCUGCACACUCAAGCCCGUGUUGCACACUCAAGCCCGUGCUGCACACUCAAGCCCGUGCUGCACACUCAAGCCCGUGCUGCACACUCAAGCCCGUGCUGCACACACAAGCCCGUGCUGCACACACAAGCCCGUGCUGCACACACAAGCCCGUGCUGCACACUCAAGCCCGUGUUGCACACUCAAGCCCGUGUUGCACACUUACAGCAUCGUUCGGUCCUCACGCCACCCAGUGAAAUAUCACACAAGGAGCCCAAGGCUAAAAGAGGUUAAGACACCCUUGGUUCACACUUAGUGUCACAACUAGGAUCCAGCCAAUGCUUACAAUUCCCACCAUCAUACUGUUCCCCACCCAUUGGGCCUGGCUCAGGCUCCCCCCCUCUCCCCCCCGCCCCUCCCCUCUCUAGGCUUUCCCCCUGGGGAAGAAAAUCAAGCCUUCUUCUCUGUGUUCUUCAACAGUAAUAAAGUGCUGGAUCUUU